RNAcentral lists this unclassified non-coding RNA (300 nucleotides) under uncultured Serendipitaceae. Its description in RNAcentral is "sequence contains ITS2". Lineage: Eukaryota; Fungi; Basidiomycota; Agaricomycetes; Sebacinales; Serendipitaceae. The record is from RNAcentral.
AACGCACCUUGCACCCUUUGGUAUUCCGAGGGGUACACCCGUUUGAGUGUCAUUGUAAUCUCACUCCGACAACUUUAUUGUUGUCUGGAGGUGGACUUGGACCUUGCCGUGUCACAACGGCUGGUCUGAAAUGCAUGAGUGCACCCUGCUGUAGCAGCGUCUUCAGUGUGAUAAGUAUCUUCACUGAUUCAAGUUCCCUUGGGACACGCUCGUCUGGUGGGCUCUGGGCUUCUAACCGUCCGCAUGGACAAGCUUUGACAAUUUGACCUCAAAUCGGGUGGGAUUACCCGCUGAACUUAA